Molecule: ribosomal RNA, 253 nt
Filed under: uncultured bacterium
Lineage: Bacteria
Description: partial 16S ribosomal RNA
Rfam family: Bacterial small subunit ribosomal RNA
Source: RNAcentral
UACGAAGGGUGCAAACGUUGCUCGGAAUCACUGGGCGUAAAGCGCACGUAGGCGGAUCUUUAAGUCAGGGGUGAAAUCCCAAGGCUCAACCUUGGAACUGCCUUUGAUACUGGGGAUCUCGAGUCCGGAAGAGGUUGGUGGAACUGCGAGUGUAGAGGUGAAAUUCGUAGAUAUUCGCUAGAACACCAGUGGCGAAGGCGGUUGCCUGGAGCUUUGCUGACGCUGAGGCGCGAAAGCGUGGGGAGCGAUCCGG